UACGUAGGGUGCGAGCGUUAAUCGGAAUUACUGGGCGUAAAGCGUGCGCAGGCGGUUCGUUGUGUCGGCGGUGAAAGCCCCGGGCUCAACCUGGGAAUGGCCGUUGAAACUGGCGAACUGGAGUGUGGCAGAGGGGGGUGGAAUUCCGCGUGUAGCAGUGAAAUGCGUAGAGAUCGGGAGGAACACCAGUGGCGAAGGCGGCCUUCUGGACCAAUACUGACGCUCAUGCACGAAAGCGUGGGGAGCAAACAGG
This 253-nucleotide ribosomal RNA is filed under the name uncultured bacterium. Its description in RNAcentral is "partial 16S ribosomal RNA". It matches the Rfam family "Bacterial small subunit ribosomal RNA", at positions 524 to 776 of the family's 1533-position model. The record is from RNAcentral.